RNAcentral lists this small nuclear RNA (41 nucleotides) under Cervus elaphus hippelaphus. Lineage: Eukaryota; Metazoa; Chordata; Mammalia; Artiodactyla; Cervidae. The record is from RNAcentral.
CAGAGAAGAUUAGCAUGGACCCUGUGCAAAGAUCACACACA